GUUUCAACUCUCAAAGUUAAUUUUUCUUUUUCUUUUCUGCAAAAUGGAAUAGGGAUAACGGCGGUAUUUCGAUUAUCCGGCACAACAACGGGGAAUUCCCCUGUGAUGGAGAGAUUAUAUUAUGGAACAAUGAUUCAAUGCAGAUUAGGUUCUGGACUUGGAAUUGAAGAUGCAAAUGGCUAUAUAUGAUUUUUUAAGUGACAGAGAAAAUGGUGGGUUAUAUCAGGUUUUGUAAUUUUUUUUUAUAUGUAUAUUCAUUCUGUGUGGUGUUUGUCGUAAUGAUUUUUUUUUUGGUUGUUAUUUUGUGCUCUGAUUUCUUUUACUUGGCUUAUAGUACAGAAUUCAACCUAGCUUCAGUUAACAUAGUAAACAGGGAAUAUAAAUGGAAAGAAGAUUAGUUUUCAAUUCAUCAAUACGCUUGUAUCCUGGUUGGCAUGGAGCUUCAGCCAAUUAGUUGUUCAGUUUCAAAGAUUUCCAUUGACAUUUGAAAGAUGUGGAAUGUGUUAAAUUAGCAGGAAGGACUUUUCCUUUUCAUGUUAAAUUUGAAGUGGACUAUGUUUUAACUCGAUGAAGGAUUUAGAUGUUGUGUAGAUGGUUUGGUUUCCGAUUGGUGGAGUGUUUAGUCAAAUGACUGCUUUGGUUAUAGACCUUUUGUGGUGGUAAUUUAUGGUAUUGAUGAUUAAUUUAACUUGGUUAUUUAUCUCGUUGGUGUUAACUAAUGAAUGAUGAUACAUAUAUAGUUGUUCAUAGUGAUAAUUCCCAUUUAUUUUGAUGACUAUGUUGACUUCAGAUAUGGAACAAAAACCUAGAAUUGCCAACUGCAAGUGCAAAAGAUUGAAUCUUGAAAGCUGAUUUUCUCUUUGAGACAUUUGAAGGUUAGACUACAUCUGAAUCACCCUCCCAGGACUAUUGUUUGAGGGAUCAGCUUGAUGAUGGCUUUUAUAAAACACAUGCAAAAAUAAAGUUGCUAGCUAAAAUAUUGAUGCAACAAGUGAAAUAUAAAUAAGGAUUUGAUCAGUUAUUAAUAAAUGUUGAGAGGCAUGUAGCAUGAAGAUUGGACUCAUUAAAUUUACCAGAGUGCAAAAUAUGGUAGGCAUUUUGGUGUUUUUGUGGAGCGGGAGUUAGCAUUAAACAUAUGAACAUAAACCCGCAUACAUGUGUAAUGCAUCUGCAAUGGAUCCUGAGCCUGCAUGGAAUUGCAUAGAUUGUUGGCUUGUGUGAAACACGUGCUGUAUGCAUUGGAUAAAGGAAGUGAAGGAGAAACAUUUUUGUUCCUAAUUCCUACUAAAUUGUGUUAGUUGGGGAUUUGGAGUCAAACUUGCAACUACAUUGGACAGAUAGCACAGAAUUUUAUGUGAUACAGUAAUGACUCUUAGGCAAAUUAAUUAAGGCUUCAUUUGAUUAACUUGUUAAGGAGUUGCUUUUUCGCUUUUUGCUAUUAUACAAGAAAAUUAAAAAAGAAGAAGAAGCAAGCUAACCAAAUGGAGAUGUAAACUUCAAAGAUGUCAAGAAUAGAUGUACAAGUAUUUAAGAGUAAACGAUAGUAAUCAUGCAUUAAAAAAAUGACCCUUAGGAAGAAGUUUUGAACUUGAAGUGUAUCACAGUGCCAUACUAGUAGAUUUUUUUAUUUACAUAUAUAAUUUUGUUGAGACUUGAGAUACUUAUAAUUUUACAAGCAUGCAUGCUCAGCUGAAUGCACCCAAACCCCACAUAAAUUAUUGAUGUGGGGGUAUCAUAUGCACUACUCACAUCAAAGUAGUAAAGUGGAUCUACAUUUAGAUCAUUCGUAAAUUUGCAAAAGUGGAACUUUAAAUGAAAUUGAUGCAAAGAUCAUUUGGAAUUUUUAUUUAUGUUUAGUUUCCAAAAAAUGUCAAGUGAAAACCAGUACUAAUUGAGUUGUGUGCUAGCUAAGUAGCAUUUUAGUUGGUCAAUUGCAUAAUAUAUUAGUUGCAUACUUAUGGUGAUGACUUUACGUUGCAAAAUUCUAUGUUUUGAGUUAUGUCAAUUUCCAUCAAUGAUCUCUACAUGCUCAAUGUGUUGAAUAGUUUUUUCUUCCCUUUAAAAUCACAUUUCCCAUAAAAUUAUUGGUAACUGCUCUUCUUUCCCCUUCCUUUGUAAUCCUUAUGAUGCUAUUUAUUUUUGUGACUACCGUAUAUAUGUAUAUAUGGUACAUUAAGCUAGCUAUUCUUUUUUUUUAUUUAUGUUUUUUUCCAAUGGCAAUAGCUUGUGGUCUACUCUUAUCAAAUUAUGCUUCUUUUGCUUUUAUGAGUAUUUGUUGCUCAUUUUAGAGGAGAAGCUCAUUUUAAAUGAAAUCCCUUAAUCAAACUCAUGUCUCAUGGUCAGAGCUUCCCCCCACUGGUAUAUAUUUUCCAACUGCUUAUUCUGAGAGGUUAUGCUGUUUCAAUGAAAGAAUGUCAAAGCUCUAUGAUCAAGAACUAUGUUAUUCUUACUCUACUUUGUUGAUAGAGAGAGAAAAAAUUUUGUGUGUAAAAUAGUAGUUAUGUAAAUGAAUUUUCAGAAUAGUACAAAUUCUAGCCUUCUACAAUCUGUGAUCCAGUUUUCUGACUGAAGGACCAUUUCCACUGUUUGUCUUAAUAGCAUAUUUAUAGAUUUUGCUUGAUUUAGAGUUUUACUCAUAUCGGCCUCAGAUUGAUUGACUGCUUGAUUAGAUUUCUAUUGUGCGUUGUAUUGUUGUUGUAUCUAAAUGAAGAUCCCCUUACUUGAAUAAGCUAUUAUUUUUGUUUGAUUGUUUAUGCAGGACAAAUGCAUACAUGUGCAUGUAAUGAUAGUAUACUUUAUUCUUUGAUGUGCUGCUAACUUGAUAUUGAUGCACCUUCAAAAUCUAGCCAAUUUAUUUUGCUAUAUAUUUUGCAUUUGAAAAGGAGAAAUACUUGUAAUAUAAUUUAAGUUAGUUUCUGUAACUUGGUUUCCAUAAUUUUGAUGGG
RNAcentral lists this unclassified non-coding RNA (2945 nucleotides) under Hevea brasiliensis (rubber tree). The record is from RNAcentral. Lineage: Eukaryota; Viridiplantae; Streptophyta; Magnoliopsida; Malpighiales; Euphorbiaceae.